Non-coding RNA from Tephrocybe sp. NHM501043, 100 nucleotides. Lineage: Eukaryota; Fungi; Basidiomycota; Agaricomycetes; Agaricales; Lyophyllaceae. The record is from the annotation of a GenBank genome assembly.
GGUUCAAUGGUCUAGUGGUUAUGAUUUCUGUCUCACAAUCUGGGAUACUAAACCGUCCAAUGGUCACAGAAGGUCUCCAGUUCGAUCCUGGAUUGAACCA